Molecule: transfer RNA, 73 nt
Filed under: Ailuropoda melanoleuca (giant panda)
Lineage: Eukaryota; Metazoa; Chordata; Mammalia; Carnivora; Ursidae
Rfam family: tRNA
About the family: Transfer RNA (tRNA) molecules are approximately 80 nucleotides in length. Their secondary structure includes four short double-helical elements and three loops (D, anti-codon, and T loops). Further hydrogen bonds mediate the characteristic L-shaped molecular structure. tRNAs have two regions of fundamental functional importance: the anti-codon, which is responsible for specific mRNA codon recognition, and the 3' end, to which the tRNAs corresponding amino acid is attached (by aminoacyl-tRNA synthetases). tRNAs cope with the degeneracy of the genetic code in two manners: having more than one tRNA (with a specific anti-codon) for a particular amino acid; and 'wobble' base-pairing, i.e. permitting non-standard base-pairing at the 3rd anti-codon position.
Source: Rfam by way of RNAcentral
AUCUAGCUGGCUCAGUCAGUAGAGCGUGUGACUCUUGAUCUCAGGGUUAUGAGUUCAAGCCCCACGUUGGGUG